RNAcentral lists this ribosomal RNA (213 nucleotides) under Clostridioides difficile. Its description in RNAcentral is "partial 16S ribosomal RNA". It matches the Rfam family "Bacterial small subunit ribosomal RNA", at positions 44 to 266 of the family's 1533-position model. The record is from RNAcentral. Lineage: Bacteria; Bacillati; Bacillota; Clostridia; Peptostreptococcales; Peptostreptococcaceae.
GUGCCUAACACAUGCAAGUUGAGCGAUUUACUUCGGUAAAGAGCGGCGGACGGGUGAGUAACGCGUGGGUAACCUACCCUGUACACACGGAUAACAUACCGAAAGGGAUGCUAAUACGGGAUAAUAUAUUUGAGAGGCAUCUCUUGAAUAUCAAAGGUGAGCCAGUACAGGAUGGACCCGCGUCUGAUUAGCUAGUUGGUAAGGUAACGGCUU